UGGCUUGUGGCUCAAUUGGCAGAGUAGGAGAUUCUUAAUCUUCGGGUUGUGGGUUCGAAUCCCACCAGGCCAA
RNAcentral lists this transfer RNA (73 nucleotides) under Flavobacterium sp. RNAcentral describes it as "tRNA-Lys". It matches the Rfam family "tRNA". Rfam says of the family: Transfer RNA (tRNA) molecules are approximately 80 nucleotides in length. Their secondary structure includes four short double-helical elements and three loops (D, anti-codon, and T loops). Further hydrogen bonds mediate the characteristic L-shaped molecular structure. tRNAs have two regions of fundamental functional importance: the anti-codon, which is responsible for specific mRNA codon recognition, and the 3' end, to which the tRNAs corresponding amino acid is attached (by aminoacyl-tRNA synthetases). tRNAs cope with the degeneracy of the genetic code in two manners: having more than one tRNA (with a specific anti-codon) for a particular amino acid; and 'wobble' base-pairing, i.e. permitting non-standard base-pairing at the 3rd anti-codon position. The record is from RNAcentral. Lineage: Bacteria; Pseudomonadati; Bacteroidota; Flavobacteriia; Flavobacteriales; Flavobacteriaceae.